AAAAGAAAGAGAAAAGAAACUCUUCCUCUUCUCUAUUUGCCAUAGUCGGUCGUCGUGCAUCACACCGCAAAGUACACCGUUGUCGACGUUCGCUGCUCCACGUAAGUUAGACGACGUCGCCCGUCGUUGCAAGCCUAGGCAAAGCGUUCCUCGUCCGUCGUCUCUCCAUACCAAGGCUCACCAAGUCAUAGAUAGCUCCGUCUUGCGUGUGUCGAUUGGUCUGCAUGUGAGUCAUCUCCUCCUCCGUUCGUCGGCUCUCUCUCUGCCUCAAGUAAAACCAAACGGUCAUCAUUCCGCUGGUCAUCUAUCUCUGUCUCAGUCCAAUCCGUGUAUUAGAUCUAAGCCAAAUCCCUCCAAAUCGAGCUGAGAGCAAGGCAAUCCUUCCUCCAUCAGCUGCGCGUGAGUUCUUCUAGGCCAUCGGAGCCAUUUCUUCUUCUCACCUGAGUCGCCUAAGUCAUUUGGUUUACUUUCCCAAGCCAAACCAAUUUUGCUAUCAUUUGAGCAAUUUUUUUUUUUGUAUGAGUUUUGAUUGGGUUUCAGGUUCAUUUGGCUAAAUGUUAGUUGGACGUUUUGAGCUAUGAAGUUUUUCCAAUCAAGGUUGAAUUGGUUUCAACCUCAACUUUGAGACUGGGUAAAUUUGGGGAUUGGUUGUCAACCAAGGAAUUAUUGUUUUAGCUAAUCUCGAGGUAAGAAAUUUUAGUACUAGACCUUUGAAUAUGAAGUUAAAAGUCUGCAUGUAUUUUCCAUUAUGCAUUGAUGUAACUGAGAUGCAUAAUGUGACUGAUAUGGAUGAUCGAUAUGGAUGACUGAUAUCGCUAAUAUGACUAAUAUGUUUUGAUAUGAUCAAUAUGACUGAUAUGUUAUGAUGCAUGUUAUACUAAUCGCAUGAUAAAGACGUUAUAAUUGAUAUUCAUGUCAUGUUAUUAUGUUAUGACAUGUUGCUAUGCAUGAGUAUUCUGUUAACUCUAUCUAUUAGGGUCAUACCCAUAUGGGUGUCCCUCAGAAUCACCACCUUUUUAUGACAGCAUGAGUUCAACGAGAUCACUAGUAUAUUGUGAUAUGUUUUAUGAGUGGUCUGAUGGGGUCGCUUACAACCUGAUUUCUUAAGUUUUUCUUCAAGAUCAUCGAAGACUGGUUUCUCUUAGGUGUUCCUUCAGAUUCACCAAGAGCUCAGAUAUGUCUCUACAGGAUCACUAGAUAGUGCAUAUGUUCGAAAGCAUGAUAGUUUUGGAGUAUUUCCUUACAAAAUCCUAAUAGAAAGUUAACAGACACUUAGCAGGACUAGUAUUGGGUCCCUUACUGAGUAUAUGUUUAUACUCACUUUUUAUAUGUUUAAUUUUUCAAGCAAAUGUAGAGGUAGAGGAAAGUUGGCGAAUGACAAGAAGUGACUGUGACUUGCUAUAGGGAAAAUUUUAUAUUCAAAUAUGAUUUGAAUUUCGAAAAAAUGAUUGUGAAUUCAUGUUCGAAAGAUUGAUAUUAGUUAAGACGAAUAAAAUGGUAAAAAGUCAAAAUGUUGACUUUCGACUUGAAAA
Molecule: long non-coding RNA, 1532 nt
Organism: Cucumis sativus (cucumber)
Lineage: Eukaryota; Viridiplantae; Streptophyta; Magnoliopsida; Cucurbitales; Cucurbitaceae
Exons: 2
Source: RefSeq, a predicted model, not a curated record